GACGAAGGAUGCAAGCGUUAUCCGGACUCAUUGGGUUUAAAGGGUGCGUAGGCGGACCUGUAAGUCAGUGGUGAAAUCUCUCAGCUUAACUGAGAAACUGCCAUUGAUACUGCAAGUCUAGAGUACAGAUGAUGUGGGCGGAAUAUGACAUGUAGUGGUGAAAUACUUAGAUAUGUCAUAGAACACCGAUUGCGAAGGCAGCUCACGAAACUGUAACUGACGCUGAGGCACGAAAGUGCGGGGAUCAAACAGG
This 253-nucleotide ribosomal RNA is filed under the name uncultured bacterium. RNAcentral describes it as "partial 16S ribosomal RNA". It matches the Rfam family "Bacterial small subunit ribosomal RNA", at positions 524 to 776 of the family's 1533-position model. The record is from RNAcentral.